GGCUCAGGAUGAACGCGGCGGUAUGCUUUACACAUGCAAGUCGUACGGAAGUUUUUAACUUAGUGGCGGACGGUGAGUAACACGUAAGAAUUUGCCUUUAGGAGGGGGAUAACAACUGGAAACGGUUGCUAAUACCCCAUAUGCUUUCGAGUGAAACGGUUUUUCCGCCUAAAGAGAAGCUUGCGGCUGAUUAGCUUGUUGGUAAGGUAAUGGCUUACCAAGGCGACGAUCAGUAUCUGGUUUGAGAGGACGAUCAGACACACUGGAACUGAGACACGGUCCAGACUCCUACGGGAGGCAGCAGUGGGGAAUUUUCCGCAAUGGGCGAAAGCCUGACGGAGCAAUACCGCGUGAGGGAUGACGGCCUAUGGGUUGUAAACCUCUUUUUUCAGGGAGGAAUCAAUGACGUGUACCUGAAGAAUAAGCAUCGGCUAACUCCGUGCCAGCAGCCGCGGUAAGACGGAGGAUGCAAGUGUUAUCCGGAAUCACUGGGCGUAAAGCGUCUGUAGGUGGUUUAAUAAGUCAACUGUUAAAUCUUGAGGCUUAACCUCGAAAUCGCAGUCGAAACUAUUAGACUAGAGUAUAGUAGGGGUAAAGGGAAUUUCCAGUGGAGCGGUGAAAUGCGUAGAUAUUGGAAAGAACACCAAUGGCGAAGGCACUUUACUGGGCUAUUACUAACACUGAGAGACGAAAGCUAGGGUAGCAAAUGGGAUUAGAUACCCUGGUAGUCC
RNAcentral lists this ribosomal RNA (731 nucleotides) under uncultured bacterium. Its description in RNAcentral is "bacterial SSU rRNA". It matches the Rfam family "Bacterial small subunit ribosomal RNA", at positions 21 to 796 of the family's 1533-position model. The record is from RNAcentral.